RNAcentral lists this ribosomal RNA (913 nucleotides) under uncultured delta proteobacterium. RNAcentral describes it as "bacterial SSU rRNA". It matches the Rfam family "Bacterial small subunit ribosomal RNA", at positions 28 to 916 of the family's 1533-position model. Lineage: Bacteria; Deltaproteobacteria. The record is from RNAcentral.
AUUGAACGCUGGCGGCGUGCUUAACACAUGCAAGUCGAACGAGAAAGCUUCCUUCGGGGAGCGAGUACAGUGGCGCACGGGUGAGUAACGCGUAGAUAACCUACCCAGGUGUCUGGGAUAACCCUUCGAAAGGGGGACUAAUACCGGAUACGCUUAUCAGCCAUAAGGUUGAUAAGGAAAGGUGGCCAAUCCUUGGAAGCUAUCGCAUCUGGAGGGGUCCGCGUACCAUUAGUUAGUUGGUGGGGUAACGGCCUACCAAGGCAUCGAUGGUUAGCGGGUCUGAGAGGAUGAUCCGCCACACUGGAACUGGAACACGGACCAGACUCCUACGGGAGGCAGCAGUGAGGAAUAUUGCGCAAUGGGGGAAACCCUGACGCAGCGACGCCGCGUGAGUGAGGAAGGCCUUCGGGUCGUAAAACUCUGUCAGAAGGGAAGAAAUGCAUAGAGGUUAAUACCCUUUAUGUUUGACGGUACCUUCAAAGGAAGCACCGGCUAACUCCGUGCCAGCAGCCGCGGUAAUACGGAGGGUGCGAGCGUUAAUCGGAAUCACUGGGCGUAAAGGGCGCGCAGGCGGUUUUAUAAGUCAGAUGUGAAAGCCCACGGCUCAACCGUGGACGUGCAUUUGAAACUGUGAGACUUGAGUACCAGAGGGGGUAGUGGAAUUCCCGGUGUAGAGGUGAAAUUCGUAGAUAUCGGGAGGAAUACCGGUGGCGAAGGCGACUACCUGGCUGAGUACUGACGCUGAGGCGCGAAAGCGUGGGGAGCAAACAGGAUUAGAUACCCUGGUAGUCCACGCCGUAAACGAUGUGAACUAGGUGUUGGGGGUGUCGAUCCCCUCAUUGCCGCAGCUAACGCAUUAAGUUCACCGCCUGGGGAGUACGGUCGCAAGAUUAAAACUCAAAGGAAUUGACGG